Molecule: ribosomal RNA, 253 nt
Filed under: uncultured bacterium
Lineage: Bacteria
Description: partial 16S ribosomal RNA
Rfam family: Bacterial small subunit ribosomal RNA
Source: RNAcentral
UACGGAGGGGGCAAGCGUUGUUCGGAAUUACUGGGCGUAAAGGGCGCGUAGGCGGCCUUCUAAGUCGGACGUGAAAUCCCCGGGCUCAACCCGGGAACUGCGUCCGAUACUGGAAGGCUUGAAUCCGGGAGAGGGAUGCGGAAUUCCAGGUGUAGCGGUGAAAUGCGUAGAUAUCGGGAGGAACACCGGUGGCGAAGGCGGCAGCCUGGACCGGUACUGACGCUGAGGCGCGAAAGCCAGGGGAGCAAACGGG